RNAcentral lists this long non-coding RNA (4548 nucleotides) under Sus scrofa (pig). RNAcentral's name for it is "lncRNA (ENSSSCG00000053094.1)". Lineage: Eukaryota; Metazoa; Chordata; Mammalia; Artiodactyla; Suidae. The record is from RNAcentral.
UACCUCCCAAAGGGACCACAGGCUAGUCUGUUAAACAGUUUCAUAUAGGUGAAUAUGAUAAUUCAAAACAGUGAGAGAAGCUAUUUGAGCUCCUACAGUCCUCAUUCUGGCCCAUGUGUCCAUUUCAAUAGUGGCCUUCCAGAGAAAAUGCCCAAUUUUGUUAGUCAUUCAAAGAAAUGACAUGCAUUUCAACACAAGUAGUAUCAGAGGGAAAGGAUGAGACAGGAAAGGGUGGGCAGGACACUUGAGAGGUAUCUAAUUACAAUAGUAAAGUAUCAGAUUAUUCAGCCUGUUGUAGAAUGGGGACAGUUGAUGUGCCCACAUUGACAUAAAUAACAAAUAUGAUAACUUUUGAAUAUCAUUUUACAAUAUCUGCAGCACCCUUUUACCCACAAUUUCAUUUGAACCUGGAUUCUAAACUCAGAAUAUUGCCAACCAACACAAGCAUCUCAUUUAAAAACCUAAUGAAAAGUUUUGCAGCUACUUGUCCUUGAACAAUUUAGUCGACAGGGAACCCACAACUUCUGAUGCCAAGUAUUUAAAAGGCACAGUUCUACUAAGUCAGAAGAGUUUUUGUUUUUAGCAGAGCUCUGAUAGCGACAUCAUCCAUAAAUUCCAUUCAUUAGUCUCAGUGUAAGAAAAAGAGAGCCAACCUUUGGAAUUAGGCAUAUAUUCAUCACAACUGCACUUUAGCCACUGAUGGUGGAGAUUUAGUUGACCCGCCCAUGAAAUGCUGAUAAUCCACUGAGGACCCUGCAUUGUUCUGAGUAUUAAAAAAAAAUGAUGAACGGUGAACCUUCUAGAUAAUAUCUCAUUUGAUCCUCACCCAAUGUACAGAACUUUAUGAUGAAUAUCUCCUAUUCUUUAGUGCUGGAGUACACCGGGUUUCCUUUCAGGCUCUAAGCCACUGCUUUAACUGUGAGUCUAUCUGCUUCACGAAGCCUUCUCCCCUCUCAUGUACUGUUUCCAACAUGCUAAAAUCAUGCGAGCAGAUAACAUCAUGCCUUACCCCUGAGGGUCAAUCAAGUGCUGUUCUGCUUUGAGCAAGCCUCGCCAAAGUCAAUGUGAACUCAGACCUGAGAUUUACAGAUGUCAUUUCUCUGGUUCAGGGUCUUUUUACUUUUUUUCUGAAUUCUAUGAAGUUCUUGAUUUUUGGUCUUGUUGUAUACCUGUUAUUUUUUUCUCUACAACCUCUUCUUCCCUCUUCGUAGGAUAUCACCAUUCAUAGCACAGCUGUCUUCUCAGUUACUUGUGCCAGAAACUGGGAAUCACAUUUGCUUUCACUCUUGGCCCAAAUGCCACAUUCAAUCGGUCACUAAGUGCCAUCAAUUCUACCUCAAAUUCUAUCUCAACUCUGCCCCCCUUCUUUCCACUGCCCUGGCCUAGUCCAGACUUGAACUAUCCCUUUGUGGAACUAUUGCAAGGGAUUUGCCAAACGGAUGAUGUCAAAUGAACUGAAAAGCUUAUAAAAUUGAAUGAUAACCCAGACUCUAUUUCAGGAAACCAAGGUCUAUGUAAAAUAUUUAGGAAUAUCUCUAGGCCCAUUGUCUCCUCUUUUACCCUUCUUGAUUUUUAAAGGAGUAAGUUUCAAGGUAUCUGGAAAAUUCUGUUAUGUGGAACCUCUUACUCCCUAACUGUGCUAAGUUAAAAAAAAAAAAGAGGACUAAUAUAGUGUAUUUAUUCAAGAUUGAUUUUUGCAAAAGAUUGUUCCCAUAUGUAGAUUAUGCUGGUGACUCAUGGAGUCUCUCUUUUUGUUCUGGCUGCUUUGAAAAGCCAAGCAAAAGUUCCUUCAAGCCCAGCAGUUAAUUGUCACAGUGAUGUCUGUUUGAUGACUCCAUAUUUAUUUUAAGAGGAACUGCAUCCCGUUGGGCCUGCCAGGAUGAGUUAGCUGCGAAAUGCAUUCCUAAAUAGCUAAAUGAUUCAGCGCAGGAUCCCAUAUAUGAAAUUGACUUUGUAAUGUGGCUGCAUGUCUCUCUGUUGGAAAGUCUAUCUAUUUUGGUUCUGUGCUUUAUUUUAUAAUUCAAUAUUGCAUAUGAAUAGGUAAUGGAGGGAAGCUUUCCUGCCUCACAAAACCCAUAUUACAACCAAUACAUCGUUAAAACUUUGCCCAGGUACUUGGAAGCUUCCUCUGACGAAAACUCAGUUAUAUGGGGCCAAUGUAUCUGAAAACAUUCAGAAUUGCACACUGCAGUUUGCAAAUAACAACUAGGAUGCUCUUGAACAGAGAAACCCCCAAGAGGGUGCUUACCUCCUUUGCAUCAAUAAAGUACAACAGCUUCUUAUCAGAGGCUGACUUUUGCUUACAGCUAGAAUCUGGCUAAACCCAGUUUCUAACCACUUAGAGACUUCAAAUAAUUCCCAAAUUAUACCUUCCUUCAAAGGGAAUAUGCUUUAAAUCAAAUGUUUAAUGUUAGGAAAAUAAUAAUUCACACACUGGCACACCUUAGCAGCCUGUUUUAAGACAAAGAGAAGAGAGAGGCACAGAUUGUGCCUUGGCCCCUGGCUUCCCCACUUCCCCCCAAAGUGCUCAGGAAAUGUGCUUCUUUCUAAAGAGUAAGGGCUUAAUUAGUACUGAACCCUGGAGUGGCUCAACUGGGCAUUUUGUUCAGGAAACAAUAGAUUGAGGAUAAAAAUGUCAGUGUUUUUUCGAGACAGCAUGAGUCCUGGUGAAGUAAGGUUGCUGGCUUGCAGAAAAGGGCUGGAGAACCUACCUGGUUUUCAGCAAAUUCUUUCCAUGUGCUCCAUCUCCAUUUCUACCAAAGGACCCAAAGUCUACAAAGGACCUAUGUAUUCUAUCUGUGGUUCACCGUAUUCUGCAGACUGAUCAUUCUCAGAGGAAAACAAUCCUUUGUAUUGACAAAGAGAGCGAUGUGGGUGGAAUAAGAGAUGCAGCAGCUUCUGGGGACAACCAGGUAGCCUUCUCUACUAGGGGUCCAGAGAGUACCAUCCAACAUUCUAGGUAUCCGUGUAUAUAAGAACCUGUCUUCUCUCCUUAGCAUCUGAAAUGGUGCUGUGUAUUCUCUUUGAGAGAAUCCAGAACAUAGUCAUUCAAAAGAUUUUUCUGAAUUAUGUAGAUUAGGUAAGGAACUCCAGAUGAGAAUGGCUGGUUGAGAGUCAUGAUACUCAAUUUCUAAAUUUGGUACGUCAGAAAUCUGUGAGAUUAUGAGAAAGCCAUUUACUACCCUGGGUAUCAUUUUCUUUAUUUUUAAAAUAAGAGAAGCUAGUGAUUUCUGAGGUGCCUUGUUACUCAAAGAAUCUUAGGUGAAUGAGAAGGGUGGUAUAAUUCUGAGAGGUUAUUUGUAUUAGUGAUGUACUCAGGAGUUUCGAGGCUUCAUACUUUAAAAUUUUGUGCACAUUUUUAUGCUGGAGUAUUUUUUUCCUUAGAUCAAAAUUGAGAAAAAAAAGGAAUAUCAUAGAAUCUAGUCCAGUCUUGCAGCCGACAUUUGAAUUUCUUCUAAAAUACUUUUACUAAAAUAACUAUAUAUUCCAUACUUGAGUGCUUCCAGUUACAGAAUACCCACAAUCAGCACAUUUACUCAUCUCAUCCUUGAAGCACUCUAACUGCUCCACAUUAUGUAAUAUGUUAUUUCCCUCACCUUACAAUAAGACUACAAAAUGAGGUUAUGUUCUUUUUAUACAAAAAAAAAAAAAAAAUCUAUCCCCAAAUGGUCUAGUUACUGGAAACUGACCUCUCUCAGUGUCUCCAAUCUUUUCUUUCAAUAUUGCCUCAUAAGCACCCAGAAUACUCCCUCUGAAAUCUUCCAUGACAACAGAUUUAUCUUGCCACGGAGCAAGUUACCAUGUUUUGGGGAGGAAAGCCCAGUUAACAGCUGGAUUCCAAAUAAGAAUUACAGUACUGGGAGCAUACACAGGGGUCUCCAUGCCAGAAAGAAAAUGUUGUUUGCCACUGUAAACUCCUACACCAAUUGAGAUCAACAUCAGCUGGGGGACAUAGGUUGACAGUGCCUCCAACAUGGCCCCCUGGACAAGUAAUAGGCCUGAAGUUUUCCAGUUCAAUUUGAAUACUUGAGUCUAGUUCUUUUUCAUGAAGGGAUUGCCUGAGAAGAGCCCAUCCAGUCUGUCCUGUUUGUCUCUGCCACCACCUGUGCAAGAGCUUUGGUAAUGGAGGUGGGGAAGACAUUGGGAACUCUUGAUGGCUGUUGGGGAUGGGGGACAUAGGGACUGGGGGAUCCCCUGCUGUUUCUGAGAGGCUUCUCAGUAAGGUUAAGAAGGAUGAUGAUUAAAUUGUGUUUAGAGCUGUCUGGCAGGGGAUGGCAGGCCCAGCCGUCAUUUAAUCUUCUUACAAUACUUUAGGAGAGUGGUACCAGGGUGUUUUCCUUAAUGAGAAAAGUUUUAGAGGUAGCUAUGAAAGACAAAAAGACUAUCAAUGCCCCUUCCUCUCAAGUAACUCACAGAGUCUAAGCUACUGGGUGCUGUGUUGCUUUCUUUCCACUGAUGUAAAAUAAGUGUCCCAUUCCAGUAUCUGACUCAUAUUUUUCCCAGUCUUCCUCUAUUCAUCCCCAGACCUUUUAUUUUGAACAGAUACUU